GUGAUCAUACCAGCACUGAUGCACCGGAUCCCAUUAGAACUCCGAAAUUAAGCAUGCUUGGGCGAGAAUAGUACUAGGAUGGGUGACCCCUGCGAAGUUCUCGUAUUGCACCCU
Non-coding RNA from Ilex paraguariensis (yerba mate), 114 nucleotides. Lineage: Eukaryota; Viridiplantae; Streptophyta; Magnoliopsida; Aquifoliales; Aquifoliaceae. The record is from the annotation of a GenBank genome assembly.